UACGUAGGGUGCAAGCGUUAAUCGGAAUUACUGGGCGUAAAGCGUGCGCAGGCGGUUUUGUAAGUCAGAUGUGAAAUCCCCGGGCUUAACCUGGGAACUGCGUUUGAAACUACAAGGCUAGAGUGUGACAGAGGGGGGUGGAAUUCCGACGUGUAGCAGUGAAAUGCGUAGAGAUGUGGAGGAACACCGAUGGCGAAGGCAGCCCCCUGGGUUAACACUGACGCUCAGGCACGAAGCGUGGGGAGCAAACAGG
RNAcentral lists this ribosomal RNA (253 nucleotides) under uncultured bacterium. Its description in RNAcentral is "partial 16S ribosomal RNA". It matches the Rfam family "Bacterial small subunit ribosomal RNA", at positions 524 to 776 of the family's 1533-position model. The record is from RNAcentral.